RNAcentral lists this ribosomal RNA (324 nucleotides) under Triticum aestivum (bread wheat). RNAcentral's name for it is "partial small subunit ribosomal RNA". The record is from RNAcentral. Lineage: Eukaryota; Viridiplantae; Streptophyta; Magnoliopsida; Poales; Poaceae.
AUGGGGGACUAUGAACCCUACUCACUGCCUCGCCGUGGUGUUGUUUUUGGUCGCAAUGGUCAUCAUUACGAGCGUCAUGAUCAGGAUGACCGUGACAACCAAGCAAGAGUGAAGCUACAUGUACCAUCAUUCACGGGAAAAGAGGAGCCGGAUGCAUAUAUUGAGUGGGAAGAGAAGUGUGAUCAAAUAUUUCGUAUCUAUGGUUUUUCCGAAGCCAAGAGAGUUGAUCUUGCUAUUAUGGAGUUCUCUGGUUAUGCUCUUACAUGGUGGAAUCAGCUGCAAGACGAUCGGUUGAUGUCCGGCAAUAAUCAUAUCUGCAACUAG